Molecule: unclassified non-coding RNA, 494 nt
Filed under: Steirodiscus tagetes
Lineage: Eukaryota; Viridiplantae; Streptophyta; Magnoliopsida; Asterales; Asteraceae
Description: partial contains external transcribed spacer and 18S ribosomal RNA
Rfam family: Eukaryotic small subunit ribosomal RNA (bases 433-494)
Source: RNAcentral
CGUAAAGGUGCAUGAGUGGUGUUUGGUUUGUUACGGGUGGUUGGCUCUUUGCUUGCGCAACAACUUCCACCUGGCUUACCUCUUCAAUUAUGCGUCAAGGAUUGUAAGAUCUUUGAGCGUAUUGUGGGUUUCCUGUGUUGACUUCCAAUGUGUAGGUAUCGUUUCGGCUAAUUGAAGUCCCUUUUCAUCUAGUGUUGCCUUUGUGAUUCAAGAUGAACAACGAAGUGGUCUCUAUGUUCCACAACAACGUUAAUGCUAAUGUAUUGAUGUUGUGGGCCAUUGAGGGUCGCUUGUUUUCAUGGAUACGGAACAUAAUGUGGGCAUGGGGUCUUUUAUGGCUCUUGAUUUGUCCUCGUCAAGUGUUCUUCGAUACGACGGUUCAUGCGCGCCUAGGCUCGUACCUGCGUGAUGAACUUAGUCAAAGAGGAAUGCUACCUGGUUGAUCCUGCCAGUAGUCAUAUGCUUGUCUCAAAGAUUAAGCCAUGCAUGUGUAA